Molecule: small nuclear RNA, 107 nt
Organism: Artibeus jamaicensis (Jamaican fruit-eating bat)
Lineage: Eukaryota; Metazoa; Chordata; Mammalia; Chiroptera; Phyllostomidae
Source: RefSeq, a predicted model, not a curated record
GUGCUCACUUUGGCAGCACAUAUACUAAAAAGUGGAACAAUAUAGACUAUAUUAGCAUGGCCUCUGCACAAGGAUGACCACAAAUUCAUGGAGCGUUUCAUGUUUUU